CGGUAAUUCCAGCUCCAAUAGCGUAUAUUAAAGUUGUUGCAGUUAAAAAGCUCGUAGUUGGAUUUCUGGUGGGAGGGAUCGGUCAUUCACUUAGUUGUUUGUACUUGUAUCCUCUCCGGCCAUCCUUGGGUGGAUCCUUUCUGGUAUUAGUUUAUCGGAAUGGCAAUACCCAUCAUUUACUGUGAAAAAAUUAGAGUGUUCAAAGCAGGCUUAUGCCAUUGAAUAUAUUAGCAUGGAAUAACAAUAUAGGGCCCUGGUACUAUUUUGUUGGUUUGCGUACCGGAGUAAUGAUUAACAGGGACAGUUGGGGGUAUUCGUAUUCAGUAUUCAGUGGUGAAAUACUUAGAUCUACGGAAGACGAACUACUGCGAAAGCAUUUACCAAGGAUGUUUUCAUUAAUCAAGAACGAAAGUAUGGGGAUCGAAGAUGAUCAGAUACCAUCGUAGUCUAUACCAUAAACUAUGCCGACUCAGGAUGGGCAGGGCUCAUAUAACCCUGUCUGCACUGUACGAGAAAUCAAAGUCUUUGGGUUCCGGGGGGAGUAUGCUCGCAAGGGUGAAACUUAAAGAAAUUGACGGAAGGGCACCACCAGGAGUGGAACCUGCGGCUUAAUUUGACUCAACACGGGAAACCUUUUCAGGUCCAGACAUAAUGAGGAUUGACAGAUUGAGAGCUCUUUCUUGAUUUUAUGGGUGGUGGUGCGUAUCAAAUAAUUGAUUUAUCUUGUUUUUUUACCAUUCUUUUUUCUUAUUUCAUUUUCUGACAUCAAUAUUCUUUACAUCUUAUUUACUAUCCUUUUACUUCAACAGGUGCAUGGCCGUUUUUAGUUGGUGGAGUGAUUUGUCUGGUUAAUUCCGUUAACGAACGAGACCUCAGUCUGCAAAAUAAUGGUGUUAAUGUUUUCAUUGGCAGCCAUUUCUUUGAGAGACAUGUAGUUCUUAAACUACAGGAAGAGUGAGGCAACAACAGGUCUGUGAUGCCCUUAGAUGUCCUGAACCGCACGCGUGUUACACUGAUACAUUCAACGAGCUUAUAACCUUGGCCGAGAGGCCUGGGCAAUCUUGUUAACGUGUAUCGUGAUAGGGAUAGAUUAUUGCAAUUAUUAAUCUUGAACGAGGAAUUCCUAGUAAACGCACUUCAUCAAAGUGCAUUGAUUACGUCCCUGCCCUUUGGUGAGUAAAUAACAAUUUGUUGGCAUCAUGUUUAACCUAGAAUAACUUUUUAUCUUUUAGCAUCUUUCUAACUUAAUAUAUCUAUUUGUCUUUCUUUGUCUCUCUUUUAACUCUGCAGUACACACCGCCCGUCGCACCUACCGAUUGAAUGAUCCGGUGAAGCCUUGGGAUUGUAGUUUGGUUCCUUUAUUGGGACCUUACCGCGAGAACAUGUCUGAACCUUAUCAUUUAGAGGAAGGUGAAGUCGUAACAAGGUAACC
Molecule: ribosomal RNA, 1432 nt
Filed under: uncultured eukaryote
Lineage: Eukaryota
Description: SSU rRNA
Rfam family: Eukaryotic small subunit ribosomal RNA
Source: RNAcentral